Molecule: ribosomal RNA, 233 nt
Filed under: uncultured bacterium
Lineage: Bacteria
Description: partial 16S ribosomal RNA
Rfam family: Bacterial small subunit ribosomal RNA
Source: RNAcentral
UGAGGAACAUGACCUUCGGCGGGGGAUAGCCGGCCCAACGGCCGGGUAAUACCGCGUACGACCACAUGGGGACAUCCCUGAGUGGUGAAAGCAGCAAUGCGCCGAUGGAGUGCCUCGCGGCCUAUCAGCUAGUUGGUGAGGUAACGGCUCACCAAGGCAACGACGGGUAGCUGGUCUGAGAGGAUGGCCAGCCACAUUGGGACUGAGACACGGCCCAGACCUCUACCGGGAGG